Molecule: long non-coding RNA, 2004 nt
Filed under: Triticum aestivum (bread wheat)
Lineage: Eukaryota; Viridiplantae; Streptophyta; Magnoliopsida; Poales; Poaceae
Description: long non-coding RNA (TAES_LNC027612)
Source: RNAcentral
AUAUUACACAGUUUCAUCCAUAGGUAGCAAGUUUCACAAGGUCAAAACAAAAACUAAAUACAAGCACUCCAUCAACCCAAGCUUCCGUGAUCUUAAGCAAAUCUGUAAAAUGGGAAAGAAGAAAGUUAGAAGAAGAAGACUAGAAGAAGAAGAUUAUUAUGAUGCAGAAAUAUGCAUGGAUUGUCAAAACUUGCAUUAUCCUACUAUCGCUAGUACAACAAAGCUGCAGGUUGGCAUAGUUCAUGAACCAUGUACAUCAUGACAAAUACAAUAUCAUCCAAUGCUCGACUAUGAACAAAAUUGAACAAUUACACCUCACAAAGGCGGAGCAUAGAACCAACAAGCAAGUAGGAGGGGUAUAAGAGGACGUGAGGAGCUCACCGGAGGGGGUUCUAGCCUAGGCUGAGCUUCAUCACCAUGGAUGCGGCUAGGGAAAUCAGACGAGUCUACCAUCAUAGGAGCACCACCACCACCACCGCCAAAACUGGAAUGGCCAGAGCAAAUCGCCAUCAUAUGGGUCACCACCACCGAAUGAUCUUGCAAGGUGUAAAGUCUCCACAUUUCAGUAUAAACUAGUGGCGUCAAGAAACAAGCAGUAGCAGGCAGAAGGUAAAUUCUAGUAACUGAUGAUUAGUAGACAAAAACAGGAAAUAGAUCGCACCAGUAGCAAAGUCCACUGCCGCAAGUCCUAAACAUUUCAUUCAGAUCAUAUAUGAAACUCACUAGUAAGCGUGCAUGUGCAACUCACGUUUCAAACGUUGAUCAAGUGAGUGUGAGUUCACGGUAUAAAACUAAAAUAUGUUUUGCAAAUAAAUAAAUUAAAUGGAUACAAAACUGCAUGUCGUUUAAAUUGUAUUUUAAAAAGUGAGACAUCACUGUGAUCCAAUAAUCAGAUGAAGAAUCAGUUUGUGGCCUCGAUAACCAAUGUUUUCACGCAAAAUGGUUUCUGAGAUGAAUUUACACACAACCAAUAUGUAAGUUCCGAGCACAUGCAAGAGAAGAAUUGAAGUUAUGCAUAUAUCUUACCCUGUUACCAUCAGAUGCAAGUGAACUAUUAGCUUAAGAUCACUUGAGCCCAGAGAGCGAAGAACAUUUUUUUUCAAAUUACAUCAUUUAGAAUUGCAAAAUGGACCAAAGAUAAGAUAAUUCAUACAUUGGAUAAAGUGGCAAAAUAUAGCAAUGGUGUAAAUAGGCAUGGGACAUCCCAAAUAUACAUUGGAUAAAAUGCAAGGUGAUAAUAAGAUUAGAUCUGGUCACUUUAUUACAAAGUAGUAAGACUAAAUCUCCCAAAAUAAAAAUGGUUGUUCUGCCUAUAAAAUAUAUAAUGCAGCCCCAAUUAAAAAAGGUAGAAUAAAUUAUGCCACAAAUUGCAUCAUCGGCCAGCCUAACUGCGCUAAUGUAUCCAUUUCAGAAUGGCAAGCAAGCAAGUGUGUCGGGUAGCUACAUGACUAUAAACUUUAGUGUGGUCGAUGAUACCAGCAACCAUCAAGUCCUCGUACUACCGAACAGAAGGAUCACACACUUGCAGCUAGAAAUAAUCUGGUACGACAUCAUCUUUUAUGCUAUUCAGAUCUAUGCAGAAAUAUAUGAACUUUAUAUUAGUAAAUGAGAUCUAACCUUCUCGGUAACAAUGUUGUCAUUGACACCCACAUUCUUUGCAAUCAAUUUGAAUGGAAAAACUGAAAUGUUCAAUGGUUCAACAUGAUUGUUUGUGACCCACAUGUGGUGGACCGUGUUGGCUGCGGGUAUUAGGAGCACGGGGCAAUGUCAUUCGUUUCUUGUACCUUAUGAAACAGGGUAUCCUUGACACAUCUACUUUAGCAGCCAAUUUGAAAAGAGUUCACACUCCACAACAAUACCUUCCUCAAUGGCAGCGUGCGAAAAGAAGAAGCAAUUCAGAAGCUUUAAGGAAGCAACAAACUAAUUGACUUAAUUCUGCUUCUUUGAAAAGCAAAUACAAAGGACAACUUGAAAUGUUCAAUGAAAAAACAUUGAUUGACUCAC